Long non-coding RNA from Peromyscus leucopus (white-footed mouse), 1287 nucleotides. RefSeq lists it as uncharacterized. NCBI's taxonomy places the organism in Eukaryota, Metazoa, Chordata, Mammalia, Rodentia, Cricetidae. The record is from RefSeq and is a predicted model, not a curated record. The transcript is spliced from 3 exons.
CGGGGACAAUGGUGUGUUUGGCAGAGUCUAUUUUAAAGGAUAACUACAGACUCUUGGUUCAACCCACAGCUCUGGGAAGCCUCGGGGGAGAGGUUUAGUCCGACCCCUCACAGGACACCUUUACGAAACGUCUCUCGCCCUCUGGCAGUAUGCAGGCAGACAGUUCUCAGCUAAAAUGGUCAAGACAGCCGGGUGCCUUCCCUCCACUGGGGUUAGUAUGAGGCUACUGGAGAUGUCAGGAGGAAACAUCUUGUUUAAGAAGCAGCCUGGCAGGCUGGCCAUAUCUGAUUACCCAGAGGCCACUUCCGAAAGACUGGAAACGUCUAUUGGAGGCCUGGAAGCAUACCCCUUCAGUUCUUCAUAUAUUCCAGAGAAGAGAUGCCACUACCACCGUCAGUAAUCCCAAAUAUCUGCUUUGUGUUGGGAGAGGAACAAAACUGAGCACCUGACGAUUGCUGGUCUGGGUCUUCUAGGACAGCAAACAUCCCCAGUAAGAAUGCUUUAAGACUGGGGCAGAGCAUCCUCUUCAAGUCCAGGUAGCCACCUCCCCAUCACCAACCUGGGAAAGAAAAGAUUGCAUCCUCCUCCCCAACACCUUUCUUUCAGGCUGUACUUUCUCCAUCCUCUGAUUCCAAGCCCCUCUACUGCUGGCCCUUCCCCAGCUGCUCUGGAGUCUGUGGCUUAAUACAGAGACCUGAAUCAGAAGUGCCAGACAGUGAAUUCAGUUCUGGGGCCAAGAAGCUAUUUGUUCUUGGGUGAGUUCCACAGUCUCUCUGGGCCAUUCUUUCAUCUUCUGCAACACGGAGAUCUAGAGGACAGCACUGUUCUCAGGAUUAUACGAAAUGAUUCGUAGGAAGUGAGUCACUUAGAGUCUACGUAUCGAGCGUGCUCAUAAUAGUGAACCACACAGUGUGAGCGAAUAAACAGGCAGACAAACUCGGGUGACUAUUUCUGAAAGGGGUGCUUACUGAAGGUUGACGAUUUUGUUCUACUACAUUAAGAAGCCAUUAAACGAUGUUCUACGUGGUACACAGUGCAUCUCUGUGCUGUACAUUGAUUCUCUUGCUGCUGUGCUGGGAGAUGGAAGUGGAAGCAGGGCCUAUAAGGGAGAGGACCAGUUUGGAAACUGACAUCAGUGGAGAUCUAAUAAGAACCUGUACACAGUAACUGCCAGAGGCACAUAGCUUGUUCCAGAGUCUCGGGCUACUAUAGGUGUGAAGCCCAUUUAUGAAUGAGGAAAUCAGGUCACCCAAGGCCCCUGAGAAGUCAGAAUCCCCCACAUUCAUU